GAGUAAUGUAUAGGAAUCUACCUAGUAGUACGGAAUAAUUGUUGGAAACGGCAACUAAUACCGUAUACGCCCUACGGGGGAAAAAUUUAUUGCUAUUAGAUGAGCCUAUAUUAGAUUAGUUAGUUGGUGAGGUAAAGGCUUACCAAGACAAUGAUCUAUAGCUGAUCUGAGAGGAUGAUCAGCCACACUGGAACUGAGAUACGGUCCAGACUCCUACGGGAGGCAGCAGUGGGGAAUAUUGGACAAUGGGCGAAAGCCUGAUCCAGCCAUGCCGCAUGAGUGAAGAAGGCCUUCGGGUUGUAAAGCUCUUUUAGUGAGGAAGAUAAUGACGGUACUCACAGAAGAAGUCCUGGCUAACUCCGUGCCAGCAGCCGCGGUAAUACGGAGAGGGCUAGCGUUAUUCGGANUCAUUGGGCGUAAAGGGCGCGUANGCGGGUUAGUAAGUUUAAAGUGAAAUCCCAAGGCUCAACCUUGGAACUGCUUUUAAAACUGCUAGUCUAGAGAUUGAAAGAGGAUAGAGGAAUUCCUAGUGUAGAGAUGAAAUUCGUAAAUAUUANGAGGAACACCNGUGGCGAAGGCGUCUAUCUGGUUCAAAUCUGACGCUGAGGCGCGAA
This 614-nucleotide ribosomal RNA is filed under the name uncultured Hyphomicrobiales bacterium. RNAcentral describes it as "bacterial SSU rRNA". It matches the Rfam family "Bacterial small subunit ribosomal RNA", at positions 108 to 757 of the family's 1533-position model. Lineage: Bacteria; Pseudomonadati; Pseudomonadota; Alphaproteobacteria; Hyphomicrobiales. The record is from RNAcentral.